CGGAACGUGCCCGAUCGUGGGGGAUAACGCAGCGAAAGCUGUGCUAAUACCGCAUACGAUCUACGGAUGAAAGCGGGGGAUCGCAAGACCUCGCGCGGACGGAGCGGCCGAUGGCAGAUUAGGUAGUUGGUGGGGUAAAGGCUCACCAAGCCUGCGAUCUGUAGCUGGUCUGAGAGGACGACCAGCCACACUGGGACUGAGACACGGCCCAGACUCCUACGGGAGGCAGCAGUGGGGAAUUUUGGACAAUGGGCGCAAGCCUGAUCCAGCCAUGCCGCGUGCAGGAUGAAGGCCUUCGGGUUGUAAACUGCUUUUGUACGGAACGAAAAGGUUCUUUCUAAUAAAGAGAGCUCAUGACGGUACCGUAAGAAUAAGCACCGGCUAACUACGUGCCAGCAGCCGCGGUAAUACGUAGGGUGCAAGCGUUGAUCGGAAUUACUGGGCGUAAAGCGUGCGCAGGCGGUGAUGUAAGACAGAUGUGAAAUCCCCGGGCUCAACCUGGGAACUGCAUUUGUGACUGCAUCGCUGGAGUGCGGCAGAGGGGGAUGGAAUUCCGCGU
This 559-nucleotide ribosomal RNA is filed under the name uncultured bacterium. Its description in RNAcentral is "bacterial SSU rRNA". It matches the Rfam family "Bacterial small subunit ribosomal RNA", at positions 119 to 674 of the family's 1533-position model. The record is from RNAcentral.